GAUGAACGCUGGCGGCGUGCCUAAUACAUGCAAGUCGAGCGAACAGACGAGGAGCUUGCUCCUCUGACGUUAGCGGCGGACGGGUGAGUAACACGUGGAUAACCUACCUAUAAGACUGGGAUAACUUCGGGAAACCGGAGCUAAUACCGGAUAAUAUAUUGAACCGCAUGGUUCAAUAGUGAAAGACGGUUUUGCUGUCACUUAUAGAUGGAUCCGCGCCGCAUUAGCUAGUUGGUAAGGUAACGGCUUACCAAGGCAACGAUGCGUAGCCGACCUGAGAGGGUGAUCGGCCACACUGGAACUGAGACGCGGUCCAGACUCCUACGGGAGGCAGCAGUAGGGAAUCUUCCGCAAUGGGCGAAAGCCUGACGGAGCAGCGCCGCGUGAGUGAUGAAAGUCUUCGGAGCGUAAAACUCUGUUAUGAGGGAAGAACAAAUGUGUAAGUAACUAUGCACGUCUUGACGGUACCUAAUCAGAAAGCCACGGCUAACUACGUG
RNAcentral lists this ribosomal RNA (497 nucleotides) under uncultured bacterium. Its description in RNAcentral is "partial 16S ribosomal RNA". It matches the Rfam family "Bacterial small subunit ribosomal RNA", at positions 28 to 507 of the family's 1533-position model. The record is from RNAcentral.